CCUCACUGGCUCUGGCUCAGUCCAACUGCUACUGUCAGACAAAAUGAAAACAGGAACCACCACAGCUAAUGGCAGGUGCUGCACCACCACAGCUGAGGAAAAAAAGAGGGAUGAUUUUUUUACUUCUCUUUUCUUUUCCUUUUCUUUUUUUCUUUUUUUUUUUUAAUAGGCAUGUGACUGUAUUGAUUUGAAAAUAUUUAGUUUUUUAAUGUUAUUAUAGCUCUCAUAUCCACAGACGCUUGCUAAGCCACUGCUGUUUUUGAGCAUAUUUAUUCUGUCCACCUUAUGUAGCCUUCUUUGUUCCUUUUUACUUACAUUCAGGAAACAUAAUGCAGCAAACAAGCCUUGGAACAGGUCUGAUACCAUCCAGAUUUGAUAAAGGAUGAUAUUGUAAAGAUCCAGUCCUGUCACGCAUGUUGAGGCAAAACUCCCUACUGGGUGGUGCCCAAUGAGAAUCUCCCAAAUUCCAGUCUUGUGUUUGUACUGGGGGUGAAGCAAGUUGGCUGUUCAAGUGCCCCUGAACUCAGUGCACCUGCUUAACUAAUUCUCAUCUUUUUUUUUUAAAGUAUAACCUUCAGUUUUGGGUGAAGGAUCCAAAACCUUCCAAGAGCCCUAAAAUGACCAGCUAUUAUCUGAGUGGAAGCUAUACUGCUGAAUGCAGCAGGAAAAGUGCAACAUUUACAAAGAGGAGGGAGUGAACAGGGUGGGGUGUGUUUGGGAGCCAUCCUUAUGGAGAGGAAUUAAAUAAACUCACUCAUUUUGUGGUAUGAAUUUCCACAGUAGGAAAGUAUGGCUUACUUCUGAAUAUCAGUUUCUGAAAGAAAGGGCUUGUGGAAGUAUAGAUGUAUUGCUUCUACACUUGCUGGUGUCUGAGCAUGUGUGGAGUCUUCCUUGACAUCAGCAAAUAAAAUUGUUUCUCGCUGUUCAACAAUAAAUGUUCAAGUAACCCCAUUAUUGUCACUUCAGUGUUCUGUAAAUUGGACACGAUCAACACAUGCAGUGUAACCUUUCUGAAAGAAAUAUCGAUGCAGUCCAGCUACAGAAGACAUUGUAUAGCAAAACCAAAUUGGGAUCAAUAGAAAAUCCAGAUUUUCAAAUGCAUUUAUGGCAGGAGUUGCUAAGCCUGGCAGGUUGCAGAUCAGCAGCACACUUGUUGGCCACAUCAGUCUUCAUAAGAGUGACAGGUUUGACUAGAUUCUUAGAGACAGGCUGAUUCAGAAAUUCAGUCAAAAUAAGAUCUUUCUGCCAAUUUGCAAUAUCACAUUCACAAUCCAUUCCAGAUUCAUCAAAGGUAAGGACAAAAGGACUUAAUAUUUUAAUCCCCUCUGAGAAAAUGAAUAAGGAAAUGAUGUCUGCAAAAAGUGUGAUAUUUUUUCUUGAAAAACAAGAGUGGAGAACUAUUAGUGAAGCUGACUACCAUGAAUAUUGUGUGUCAGACCUUUCAAAUCCCAGGCAAUUGGCAUGCAAGGGAAUUACUGUCAACAUUCAAGGGCAAGUGAAAGGAUAAAACAAAUCUAUUUGGUAAAGUUUCUGGUUUAGACAAGUCCAAUUUGUUUAUACUUGUUCUUCACUUCUGUAUCACAUUCAUAAAGUUGUCAUUUGUAAAGGUUUUUAAAUGUUCCUUCAAAGACACACUUUUUUCUUUCUUUCUUUCUUUUUCCUUGUCUUCCUUAAGUCUUUCUUGUUAUCCUGAUUCAUUGUGAUGCUAUUGGGGGUCAGAGGAAUGGGAAUUUUGUUCUGGUCACCGUGCAGUCCACACCAAGCAAAUUGUCAAGGAAACCAUGGUUAAUUUAUAAGAGGUUUUAAUGAUAACUUUUCUCUGCUUUUCCACCUCUUUCAGUAUAGACUUGAAAAGUUUACUUGAAAUUCAGAAUGCUGCAGCUAAUGAAUGAAUUACAGUGGAAUGGUUGCUGGAAGUUGUCCAGGAGAAGUAUAACCAAAAUCUCGUAUGUAAUCCUCAUCAGUUUAAAAUUUGUGCAGUUCUAGAGCUGUGUAGAGUCACAUGGAGGCACAAACAGUAACCAAAUACCAAGUGUUGUAAUGAAGAUCCUUCACCUUUCUGCAAGCUUGCAAUUACAUCUUUGAGAGCUUUGAUCACAGGGAACUUGCAUCUAAGCAUGCCUGUCUAGCACUUAGUUGUCCAGGCCAUGUUACUCUACCUGAUGUAGAAAACUGUCACAGAAAACAGUGGCAGAAUGCUUAGCUUCAGUCUCUCUGCUUCUGUGACUUCAGCAAGCUUAUCCUUCUUCAGCUUGCAAAUUAACAGGCCUGAUUCUCCACUCAACCUGUAGCAGAUUUCCUAAAAGGCACCAUCAACAGAGCUGGCUUCUUCCUUCUUUAUGGACCAAAGUACAUUCUAAACUAACUCCCUGAAUGUCACUCAAGGACUGAUACUGAUUGGAUC
This is a long non-coding RNA of Pezoporus occidentalis (night parrot), 2404 nucleotides long. RefSeq lists it as uncharacterized. The record is from RefSeq and is a predicted model, not a curated record. Lineage: Eukaryota; Metazoa; Chordata; Aves; Psittaciformes; Psittacidae. The transcript is spliced from 4 exons.